RNAcentral lists this ribosomal RNA (434 nucleotides) under uncultured bacterium. Its description in RNAcentral is "partial 16S ribosomal RNA". It matches the Rfam family "Bacterial small subunit ribosomal RNA", at positions 29 to 507 of the family's 1533-position model. The record is from RNAcentral.
AGCGAACGCUGGCGGCAGGCCUAACACAUGCAAGUCGAACGAACCUUUCGGGGUUAGUGGCGGACGGGUGAGUAACACGUGGGAACGUGCCUUUAGGUUCGGAAUAACUCAGGGAAACUUGUGCUAAUACCGAAUGUGCCCUUCGGGGGAAAGAUUUAUCGCCUUUAGAGCGGCCCGCGUCUGAUUAGCUAGUUGGUUGAGGUAAUGGCUCACCAAGGCGACGAUCAGUAGCUGGUCUGUGAGGAUGAUCAGCCACAUUGGGACUGAGACACGGCCCAAACUCCUACGGGAGGCAGCAGUGGGGAAUCUUGCGCAAUGGGCGAAAGCCUAACGCAGCCAUGCCGCGUGAAUGAUGAAGGUCUUAGGAUUGUAAAAUUCUUUCACCGGAGACGAUAAUGACGGUACCCGGAGAAGAAGCCCCGGCUAACUUCGUG